CGUCACUCCUCUUUCCUCAAAAAACGUCAAAUCUCUAGCACCCUAGAGUGCCACAAGCAAAUUGCACUAGUAAACUCUCUGAAUAAAAUACAACCCUCAGAGGAACUGGCGAAUAAACUGUCCAAACUAUAUGUGUUGGAAAAAACUUGGAAAAAAACAAACACAUGUUACAUAAAUUACGAGCUACCACAUACCACAAUAGUGGUAAGGCAUCAAAAUAUCUGGCCUCUAGGCUGCAC
Molecule: non-coding RNA, 239 nt
Organism: Pelobates cultripes (western spadefoot toad)
Lineage: Eukaryota; Metazoa; Chordata; Amphibia; Anura; Pelobatidae
Source: the annotation of a GenBank genome assembly